Molecule: long non-coding RNA, 82 nt
Organism: Aricia agestis (brown argus)
Lineage: Eukaryota; Metazoa; Arthropoda; Insecta; Lepidoptera; Lycaenidae
Exons: 3
Source: RefSeq, a predicted model, not a curated record
CGCCAUCUUGUAAAUGCAGAGCCUGUAGCCAAUACGUUUUCUUUAUGGCUUCUUUAUAGAAUCGCCGAUCAAAAUAUUGUAU